CCUACGGGAGGCAGCAGUGGGGAAUAUUGGACAAUGGAGGCAACUCUGACCCAGCAACGCCGCGUGAGUGAUGAAGGUCUUCGGAUUGUAAAGUUCUGUGAUGGGGGAUGAACACGAUGACGGUACCACAAUAACAAGCCACGGCUAACUACGUGCCAGCCGCCGCGGUACUACGUAGGUGGCAAGCGUUAUACGGAAUGACUGGGCGUAAAGGGUGCGUAGGUGGUAGAGUAAGUGUGCGGUGUAAUUCCGGGGCUCAACCUCGGCGCUACCGCCAAAACUAUUAGGCUAGAGUGCAGGAGGGGUAAGUGGAAGUCCUAGUGUAGCGGUGGAAUGCGUAGAUAUUAGGAGGAACAUCAGUGGCGAAGGCGACUUACUGGACUGUAACUGACACUGAGGCACGAAAGCGUGGGGAGCAAACAGGAUUAGAUACCCGGGUAGUC
This 443-nucleotide ribosomal RNA is filed under the name uncultured bacterium. RNAcentral's name for it is "partial 16S ribosomal RNA". It matches the Rfam family "Bacterial small subunit ribosomal RNA", at positions 338 to 795 of the family's 1533-position model. The record is from RNAcentral.